UUUUAUUUGAGAGUUUGAUCCUGGCUCAGGAUGAACGCUGGCGGCGUGCCUAACACAUGCAAGUUGAGCGAUUUACUUCGGUAAAGAGCGGCGGACGGGUGAGUAACGCGUGGGUAACCUACCCUGUACACACGGAUAACAUACUGAAAGGUAUGCUAAUACGGGAUAAUAUAUUUGAGAGGCAUCUCUUGAAUAUCAAAGGUGAGCCAGUACAGGAUGGACCCGCGUCUGAUUAGCUAGUUGGUAAGGUAACGGCUUACCAAGGCGACGAUCAGUAGCCGACCUGAGAGGGUGAUCGGCCACAUUGGAACUGAGACACGGUCCAAACUCCUACGGGAGGCAGCAGUGGGGAAUAUUGCACAAUGGGCGAAAGCCUGAUGCAGCAACGCCGCGUGAGUGAUGAAGGCCUUCGGGUCGUAAAACUCUGUCCUCAAGGAAGAUAAUGACGGUACUUGAGG
RNAcentral lists this ribosomal RNA (458 nucleotides) under Clostridioides difficile. RNAcentral describes it as "bacterial SSU rRNA". It matches the Rfam family "Bacterial small subunit ribosomal RNA", at positions 1 to 484 of the family's 1533-position model. Lineage: Bacteria; Bacillati; Bacillota; Clostridia; Peptostreptococcales; Peptostreptococcaceae. The record is from RNAcentral.